This is a long non-coding RNA of Aethalodelphis obliquidens (Pacific white-sided dolphin), 2522 nucleotides long. RefSeq lists it as uncharacterized. Lineage: Eukaryota; Metazoa; Chordata; Mammalia; Artiodactyla; Delphinidae. The transcript is spliced from 5 exons. The record is from RefSeq and is a predicted model, not a curated record.
AACUAGAGAGAGCCCUCGCGCAGAAACGAAGACCCAACACAGCCAAAAAUAAAUAAAUGAAUAAAUAAAUUUAAAAAAAAAAAGAUUAGGGGAUUAGCCCAAUGUCACCCUGCUCCAGAAUAGUAAAAUCAGAUGGCUGUCCCACUAUGGUGGGAACUAAGAACUUCUCCCAUCCUGUUUCUGGCUCUAUUCUGCUUUUGCAGGCACGUCCCCCAUUGCAUAUGCCUUCCACAAAGACCCCAGCUGAGUCCUGGUGUGUUUUUAUUUGUUUUGAAAGCUCUCUCUUCUCUGUCAUUCUUUCCGGCACUGUCUGCGACGCGUGAGACUACUUGUUUCUUCAAGCAUCAUGUGGUUCUGCAGAGCUUAGACGGAGUUACAAUGGACUUCCAGAUCAGAUGUCAUUGGAAUUUAAGGAAGUCAUCCUGAGAGGAACACUCCAGAUCGCUCAUUUGGGGAGAAGCAAACUGCGUACUGUGAGCAGACCUAUCGAGAAAUCCCUGUGGUUAAGUAACUGGUGACUCUGAUCCACAGCCAGCAAAGGCCUGAGGCCUGCCAAUAGCCAGAUGGCUUUAUCGAGAUGCAAUUGACAUAAAACAUUGUGUAAGUUUAAGGUGCACAACGCGAUGACUCACUCUGUGUGUAUAUUGUGAAGUGAUUACUACAAUAAGAUUACCUCAAAUCGUUACCUUUUUUGGUGUGCGUGGUGAGAACUUUCAAGAUCUACUCUCUUCCAGCUUCCAAAUUCUCUUGGCAUCCCAUACCUGAUGAGAAUUUAUGGCUAGUUGGAUGUAACAGCCAAAGCUCUCUCCCUGUGACUUAUAUGCAUCCUGAUAUAUUUCAAUUUUUGCAUACAGGAAGGUUUUCUGGUUGGAGGAGAUGCAAUUCUAUUUCGAGGUUGUGGACUCAAGGUGCCACUAAACAGAGAUUCAUGUGCUUUCAUUGACGUAAAGUGAAUCCUUCAUUUGUGGACAGCUUUGCUGCCCAAACCCAAUCUGUUACUGCAGCCAAUGGGCUUAUCUGAAGCAUCUGUGGAAAGAGAGCAGGGGAGCCAAGAGACCUGGAUCGUGAUUCUGCUAAUCCCAGGGGGUAACCUUGAGUAUGGCCAGAACACUUUUGGUCGCGGCUGGUGGUAUGGACAAAGUUCCAUAGAGCUCAGGGCUUGGCCAGGGAGGGGCAGGGAAAGUUUCUCUAGGGGAACAUUUGAGAGUAGGGUUUUCAAUUAUGAACUUGACUUCACCAGGCAGACAGAGGAAAGGGCAAGGGGUUUUCAGAGAGAGGAAGCUGACUGGACAGAGCAAUGCAAAGUGAAAGUCGGUAAAGGGUCUCAGGAAUGGCAUCUUUGACUGUGGUGAGAAGGAAGGUUGUGCUGUGGAGCCUGGAGAGGCAGGGGGUAGAAGCCAGCUCGUGAAAAGUCUGGAGGACCAAGCUCAAGUGGUUGCUCUGGGCAACUGGCAACUCGCAAAGGCUGCUGAGCAUGGGGAAGUGGGGAGGGAACAUGAUUAGAAUUUGUUUCCAUUAAGCGGUCGACACCCAGUAUGAGACCAAAGGGAUCAUUUGUUGCUCUCGUUAGCCCUGCAUAAUAAGUGAACGACCAUUGAUCUCCCCAUUUAGCAGGUGAGGAAGCUGAGGCUUGGAGAGAUUAAGUGUUCAAGGACACACUACUCAAGGAAAACAGAAGAUAAAAAUAAUUCAUACUCUGCCGGAUAGGAUUCCAUUGAAUUCUUAUAAACUUCAGUUCGAGAUUAGGUAACAUUUGCUCUGAGGCAUUACCAGGGUUUAGACAUUCAUCCAAGAUUCUGAAAUGGAAAGAAGCCAACACUGCAUAAGUAAAAUUCAGAGUCAUUAGUAGAGAUAUCAUUAGGCCUCUCUUUUAAUCAUUUCUAAGAACCAAUGUAUCAUUCUUCUCAUUGGCUCUAGGGGAGGCUGGAACUUGUCUAAAGGUGGGUGUGCAACUAAAAUUUUUGUAACAUUUUCUGUGUCAGCUCUGCUAAUGCAGAGUUCAUCCACUGAUGUUAAUGCCACAGUGGAGGUCUAAAAGAUUCUGGGAGAGCAAAAGAGAUUUUAGUCUUUACAAAUACAGUAGUUGGCCCUUAUCCACAGGGGAUAACAUUCCAGGAAACCCAGUGGCUGCCCUGAAACCACAGAUAGUACUGAACCAUACCAUGUUUUUUCCUUUAUACACAUACCUAUGAUAAAGUUUAAUUCCUCAAUUAGGCACAGUAAGGGAUUAACAACAACAACAAAUAAUAAAACAGAACCAUAAUAAAAGUUAUGUAAAUGUGGCCUCUUUCUCUCUCUCAAAGUAGCUUAUUGUACGGUACUCACCCUUCUUCUUGUGAUGUUGUGAGAUGAUAAAAUGCCUAUGAUGAGAAGUGAGGUGAAUGAUGUGGGCAUUAUGACAUAGUGUUAGGAUACUGUUGACCUUCUUUAUUAUUAUAAUUUUUUGGCGGUACGCGGGCCUCUCACUGCUGUGGCCUCUCCCGUUGCGGAGCACAGGCUCCGGACGCGCAGGCUCAGCGGCC